GCACUCAUGCUCUUUUUACAAAGUUAAAAAUCAGUUUUAAGGCUAGCAUGCAAUUUCUUGAGCUUCCUAUAUGAAGAAUGAAUUUCUCUAAAAACUUCAAGUAAUUGAUCCUUCUGUUUCAGAGGAGUAUGAUGCUGAGUCCACCCAGAAAGCCUUUUGGAUCCUUUUCACAUAUUUCAUGAACUUAAGAUUUUUCUCACCCUUCUCCUUGCUUAGGUGAGCUUUCAGAGAGGAUGGACAACCUAUUAGGAUGGAAGGAGAAACUUGCACUGGCAUGAGUGGUAAAGAAAAUGUGGAGGAUGGUAAUAUCCUUGAGGAGGGUGAAGUGCCUCAGGAGGUAAGGCAGGUGAAUGCUCACAAUGAGAGUAAAUUUAUUUCUAAUCCUUAUUCUCAUAGUGGUCCUUUUAUUGAUAUUGAGGAUAUGGAUAUUGUUACUAAAUAUUUUGCCAAAGAUGAUUAUGAUGCUAGUUUUACAAAGUUUUACAAUAAGAGAUGAAGGAAAAGCAAGAAUUUCAUAUUGCAAUCUCCUAGAACCACCCAUUCGCAAACUAGUCAUUAGUUAUUAUUUAUUAUGUUUAAAUCUAUGAUUUAGAAUGUUAGGGGUAUUGGUUUCCCCUCCUCUAGGUUAAGAGUGAACAAUUUAUGUCGCAUUUAUAAUAUUUUUCACUCAUUAGAUCUCCUAAAUUACUUAGUACUACUAGAAU
This is a long non-coding RNA of Dendrobium catenatum, 704 nucleotides long. RefSeq lists it as uncharacterized. NCBI's taxonomy places the organism in Eukaryota, Viridiplantae, Streptophyta, Magnoliopsida, Asparagales, Orchidaceae. The record is from RefSeq and is a predicted model, not a curated record. The transcript is spliced from 3 exons.